Molecule: transfer RNA, 64 nt
Filed under: Megabalanus volcano
Lineage: Eukaryota; Metazoa; Arthropoda; Thecostraca; Balanomorpha; Balanidae
Also listed under: 1 other name
Description: tRNA-Asn
Source: RNAcentral
UUAAUUAUAGCUAACGUAAGCAAUAUCACUGUUAAUGAUAAGAUAAGUAUCAACUUUAAUUAAG